Molecule: ribosomal RNA, 483 nt
Filed under: uncultured bacterium
Lineage: Bacteria
Description: partial 16S ribosomal RNA
Rfam family: Bacterial small subunit ribosomal RNA
Source: RNAcentral
CUUGACCGCUGGCGGCCGGCCUAACACAUGCAAGUCGCGCGGAUGAAGCGGGCUUGCUCCUGUAUUCCGCGGCGGACGGGUGCGUAAUGCCUAGGAAUCUGCCCGGUCGAGGGGUUCAAGUCCGGCCACGGGCACUACUUCCGCAGCCGUCCGUACGGAGGACGCGGGGGACCUACGCCCCGCCCGCUAUCAGCUGAGCCCAGGUCGGAUUAGCUAGUUGGUGGGGUAAAGGCCUACCAAGGCGACGAUCCGUAACUGGUCUGAGAGGAAGAUCAGUCACACUGGAACUGAGACACGGUCCAGACUCCUACGGGAGGCAGCAGUGGGGAAGUUUAGACAAUGUGCGAAAGCCUGCACCAGCCAUGCCGCGUGUGUGAAGAAGGUCUCCGGAUUGUAAAGCGCUCUAAGUGGGGAGGAAGGGCAAUAAGUUAAUACCUUGCUGUUUUGACGUUACCAACAGAAUAAGCACCGGCUAACUUCGUG